RNAcentral lists this ribosomal RNA (484 nucleotides) under uncultured bacterium. RNAcentral's name for it is "partial 16S ribosomal RNA". It matches the Rfam family "Bacterial small subunit ribosomal RNA", at positions 30 to 507 of the family's 1533-position model. The record is from RNAcentral.
AUUGAACACUGGCGGCAGGCCUAACACAUGCAAGUCGAGCGGAUGAAGGGAGCUUGCUCCUGGAUUCAGCGGCGGACGGGUGAGUAAUGCCUAGGAAUCUGCCUGGUAGUGGGGGAUAACGUCCGGAAACGGGCGCUAAUACCGCAUACGUCCUGAGGGAGAAAGUGGGGGAUCUUCGGACCUCACGCUAUCAGAUGAGCCUAGGUCGGAUUAGCUAGUUGGUGGGGUAAAGGCCUACCAAGGCGACGAUCCGUAACUGGUCUGAGAGGAUGAUCAGUCACACUGGAACUGAGACACGGUCCAGACUCCUACGGGAGGCAGCAGUGGGGAAUAUUGGACAAUGGGCGAAAGCCUGAUCCAGCCAUGCCGCGUGUGUGAAGAAGGUCUUCGGAUUGUAAAGCACUUUAAGUUGAGAGGAAGGGCAGUAAGUUAAUACCUUGCUGUUUUGACGUUACCAACAGAAUAAGCACCGGCUAACUUCGUG